RNAcentral lists this long non-coding RNA (1470 nucleotides) under Equus asinus (donkey). RNAcentral describes it as "lncRNA (ENSEASG00005036410.1)". Lineage: Eukaryota; Metazoa; Chordata; Mammalia; Perissodactyla; Equidae. The record is from RNAcentral.
AAUCUCUUCAAGAUUCUGAUUUCGUUUCCUUCGGAUAUAUACCCAGAAUGGGUUUGCUGGAUUACACGGAAUUUUUGGGUGUAAUUUUUAUAACUAUGAAAAUAAUUCCAAAGUGAAAAUGAUGAAACACAUUCGGAGAAGUCUAGCUUCCCCUCCUGACCCCCAACCACCUGUUCCUUCUUCUUAGAGGUAACCAUGUUUAUUAGGUCUUAGUUUCUACUUCCAUUGUUUAUUUUGAAAACAUAAACAAGUAGUCAUAUCUGGUCUUAUAUUGCCCCUUUGUUUUGUGAAAAGUACCUCCUGUAACACUGUCCUGAACCUUGCUCGUUCCCGUCCUGGUGUGUCCUGGAGAUCAGUCCAUAGCAGUAUAUGGAAACCUUCCUCAUUUCCUUUGACAGCUGCAUGGGGUUCCAUUGCUCCAAUGCACCAUAUUUUAUCCAGGAAAUCUUUUAUGAUGGACUCUUGCUGGCAAAAGUUAUUGCUGCUGGGUGUGUGGGAAAAAAGUACUCUGAAAUAAUAGGAAAUAUCUAUUUUGGCCUCUGCUCCCAGUUCCUGGCACAGAGCUCCUGAAACCUUGUGCCCUCCUAAAUGAUGGAAGCACCAGUAGCAUCUUCUGUUCUAGCAUUUGUUCUUUGAGCCUGGGUCCUGACACAGAGCUCCUGAAUCCUUUGUAAUUUCCUGGGUGAUAAGAGCAUCACUUGUUCUAACGAGGUGACUCUUCGUGGGUUCCUGAAUAACUUCAGGAUCUGAGCUCAUCACCAGAAAGGCCAAGGGGUGAUGAGAAGUUUGGCACUUUCAGUCCUACCCCAUCCUCCAGGAAGGGCAGAGGGUCAGGAAAUGGAAUUAGUGUCCAUCAGACCUAUGUGAUGACGCCUCCAUAAAAAUCCCACUAGUACAGGGUUUGGAGAGCUUCUGAGUUGGUGAACACGUUUACACACACCAGGAGGGUGGCACAUCCCAAACCCACGGGGACAGAAGCUCCUAUGCUCAGGGCCCUUCCUGACCUCGCCCUAUAAAUGUCUUCAUCUGGCUCUUUAUCCACAUCCUUUAUUAUGCCCUUUAAUAAACCCGUAAAUGUAAGUGUUCCCUGAGUUCUGUGAGCCAUUCUAGCAAAUUGUCACACCCAGGGAGGGGGUCAUGGGUGCCCCAGUUGAUAGCUGGUCAGUCAGAAGUGCAGGUGACAACCUGGCCCUUUUCAACUAGCGUCUGCAGUGGGGCCAGUCUUGUGGGACAGAGCCCUUAACUUGUGAGCUGUGGUGCCCACUCUAAGUAGUCAGCGUUAGAACGGAGUUGAAUUGGGGAAGCCCAGCUGGGGUUGGAGGAUGGCUUGGUGUGUGGAGCACUGCCGGGGUCCAGCCUCGGCAGAGUCCAGGUUCCCGCGGGAGAGACGGCGUCGGCGAAAACCUGAGGGAGGGGGAAAUAAAGAGGACGUGAGACUUGGGUUGGUGUUAGCAAGUCCACCUUUACUGU